AUACGUAGGUGACAAGCGUUAUCCGGAUUUACUGGGUGUAAAGGGCGUGUAGGCGGUUUAGCAAGUCAGAAGUGAAAUUCCCGGGCUUAACUUGGGCGCUGCUUCUGAAACUGCUUUACUUGAGUGCUGGAGAGGAUAGUGGAAUUCCUAGUGUAGCGGUAAAAUGCGCAGAUAUUAGGAAGAACACCGGUGGCGAAGGCGGCUAUCUGGACAGUAACUGACGCUGAGGCGCGAAAGCACGGGGAGCAAACAGGAUUAGAUACCCUGGUAGUCCGUGCCGUAAACGAUGAAUACUAGGUGUAGGGGGUAUCGACUCCCUCUGUGCCGCAGUUAACACAUUAAGUAUUCCACCUGGGGAGUACGGCCGCAAGGUUGAAACUCAAAUGAAUUGGCGGGG
RNAcentral lists this ribosomal RNA (397 nucleotides) under uncultured bacterium. RNAcentral's name for it is "partial 16S ribosomal RNA". It matches the Rfam family "Bacterial small subunit ribosomal RNA", at positions 523 to 918 of the family's 1533-position model. The record is from RNAcentral.